This is a long non-coding RNA of Oncorhynchus keta (chum salmon), 225 nucleotides long. RefSeq lists it as uncharacterized. The record is from RefSeq and is a predicted model, not a curated record. Lineage: Eukaryota; Metazoa; Chordata; Actinopteri; Salmoniformes; Salmonidae. The transcript is spliced from 3 exons.
GACAGACAGGUAGACCGACAGGUAGAGUUGAGUGACAAGGAGUACAGUGACAGGUACACCGACAGGUAGAGUACAGUGAGAAGGAGUAUAGUGACAGGUAGACAGACAGGUAGAGUAGAGUGACAAGGAGUACAGUGACAGGUAGACAGACAGGUAGAGUAGAGUGACAAGGAGUACAGUGACAGGUUGACAGACAGGUAGAGUAGAGCGACAAGGAGUACAGUU